This is a long non-coding RNA of Oreochromis niloticus (Nile tilapia), 228 nucleotides long. RefSeq lists it as uncharacterized. Lineage: Eukaryota; Metazoa; Chordata; Actinopteri; Cichliformes; Cichlidae. The transcript has 3 exons. The record is from RefSeq and is a predicted model, not a curated record.
GUUGUGGUUCUGCUGGUGAGAAAACAUAAUCACAGAAAACCUGAAGCAGAUCAAGACAAAGCUGCAGGAGAAGAUGUCACAUACAGUGAAGUCAAAAUAUCACAUCGCCGACAGCAGCCUGUGAAACACAGCAGAGAGACUGAUCCAGCUGCAGUUUACUCAGCAGUGAGAACUGAAGACGUCACUUAUGGAAAAAUCAUCAAAGACAAGAACAAACGAUCACAGAUA